Molecule: long non-coding RNA, 2308 nt
Organism: Aedes albopictus (Asian tiger mosquito)
Lineage: Eukaryota; Metazoa; Arthropoda; Insecta; Diptera; Culicidae
Exons: 2
Source: RefSeq, a predicted model, not a curated record
GCCGCACGAGCUUUCAAGUUCGUGGCCGGCUGGAAAUAACCGCUACUAAAUAUCGCCACCAUGGGCUGACUAGAUUGUUCUUCGUAAAAUGAGAAGCUUAAGCGCCACCUCGUUAGAGGACCUCCCACUCGUUUUAAUAGUUUGCCCGGUCUGAGACCCACCUAAGUUGGUCCAUUGUAGAACCUCGAUUCAAGGUUCGAAAAACAAUCCCGCCAACUCCACUUUCCUGGCGUCCGUCUUACUAGACUCCGAAACACCAGAGGUCAACAAUACUCACGCAACCCUAACUGCUCGUACUGAGAGUAGCUUUCCACUAUAAAAUCCCUUCAUCACCGGAAGAUUCCAUCACCCGCCCAAAGAUGGCGACACCGAUCAGAAAGCUCAUCAUUUAACUCAACAAACCAUCAAUGAAUUACGUAAGCGCCAAAAGGAGAUCGCUCUUGUGAACUAUAAACUCGAGAACAUUACGUAAACGAUAAGUAACCAAACGUCUGAAACCAACUCAACAUUCGGGGUCAUAUGGUAUCAUCGUUAACCGCGAAGGUCAACUCCUCCUCUAUCUAUAGCACACAAUCUAUCACGGACCGUGCCUACUACUGACCAUCAGUGUCUAUUCGACUCCGGUCUCCAGCGAAUGUUUACGUUACUUCCGUCAAUAAAGUUACAAAUCACAUUUAAUUAACUAUUCAGGAUAUCCAUAUUAUUGGAAAAUACUAAAUUAUGGAACAAAUAAAGAACAAAAAACUAAAUAGAGCAAAAAAAAAACAAUACCGAAUGAAAUGAGAAAGGACCAGAACAAAAAAAAACAAAAAAAAAAACAAUUGACCAGUUCAUUCGAGUGGCAUCGAGUGGUUUGCCCUGUACUCCCCAACAAUUUCUCCGAACAAUCCUUAUUAAAAUCUGCCUUCACGACUGUUCACUUGGAACAGAGUAAAAACAAUCGAAAUCAUCAUUGAUAAUCCUAAAAAACAGGCUCAUUCAGCUCCCGGGUCUACCCCAAUCAUAACGUUGAGCACCGACCUUUUUACUGAAUUUACCGCAACUGAACUGUUCAAUGGAGAUAUGGCCCACCCCGAAGCUUCCCUUCAGGCAAAUUGUUCAUUUCUACCAUUGAACGCAACUACAUUUAUCUUAUUCAAACUUCACACCAGAUUUCAAUCUGAUAAACGAAAUUUGAAAAGAUCUAAACUCCGUGUACAAUCCACGAAUAAAAUCCUUCACACUUAACUUCACACCAACUUCAUACAUGCCCAAGCACUAAACGCACCGUGCGAGGCCGGCUCGAAAUGAACUGUCAAAACGGACGGAGUCAAAACAAAGUGCAACGUAAUCGUGAAAACGUGCAGCGUGAAAAAAAGGCGAUUUCUCGGAAAAAUACUGGAUUUUCCGGCGGAAAAUCUACAUCUGGACCAGAAUUACGGGGGGAGUAUUACUAAAACUUUCUCUAAAUGUGAAUUAAGUGCUUUGUGUGUUUCUUUCAGCUGCUGCGACGUGGGAUUUGAACAAACUACGAAUGGAGGAAUGAUUUGACUUCGAUUGAAAUUUCUAAUUGGAUUGCUACUGGAUAUUGAACGGAACUCUAUUGGAUUCAAAAAACCUAGGAUUGGCUAUUGACUGAAUUUACGGAAUUUACUGGAUGGAAAAAAGGAUGAUCGGAUCAACUAUGCAGCACUAUGGAAGUAGAUUAAGAUGCGGAUGCUACUAUUGACGGCUUAAAUUAGUGGAUACUACAGUGCAACCGGACUGCUGCAGUACAAAGUUCAUCAAUGGAAACUCUCACCGACAGAACAACGAACUUAAAAGGAAACAUAGGACGACUAUUUACAAGAACGUAGAGGUUCCUAACAUUAUCUUUACGGAUCACAUCAAAAAGGACGUCACCGCUGAACUGCAUGUACGAAAACGACUACACAAUCCGUACAUAGUAAACAAAAUGGUGAGAAUUUUAGAACGUAACACUAACAAUAAUCGUAAGUACUAACAUAGAAUAUGAACAGGAUUACUAACUAAUAAUAUUCGGACUAAAUCAGGUUAGGCAGGGUUGAUUCCUUUACCUUAACCUUCGUCAAAUUAUGUCAUUUCCGUUCGUUUACGUUGCCUCGUCAGGGUUUCCGAUCUACUUGUCCCAGGUGAUACAUAGCUGUCUGGUUGGAAAACACUGCUUCCCGUGAUUCCUCCUACUCAAACUUCGGAGUAAUCCCCUUUACCAAUGCACAUUCUUGAAGUUCGUCACCAGUAGAUUGAAUGUUGUUGUGGGACGGCUCAACUCAUUGAGGAGCACUUCAAGAAUGGCCGGUUGUAUUUUGAU